Ipomoea nil (Japanese morning glory) is the source of this 275-nucleotide long non-coding RNA. RefSeq lists it as uncharacterized. The record is from RefSeq and is a predicted model, not a curated record. NCBI's taxonomy places the organism in Eukaryota, Viridiplantae, Streptophyta, Magnoliopsida, Solanales, Convolvulaceae. The transcript is spliced from 3 exons.
UAUUAAUAAUACUAUUUGGAAACAAAUCCUGAAUACUUUUGAUAUUCCCGACACAACUGAUAUGAGGAAAGAAUGGAUACAAUAUGUGGGUGAUCGGUGGAAAGAUUUUUAAGCGAAAUUGGUGAGCAAGUAUAUAUACGGUAGUUUUGCAGGUAUGAGCCCAUGUAUAAAAUACGACUUCAUUGAACAAGAGACAUGGAAUGAGUUUGUAAAGUCGCAUACAGGUCCAGCAUAUGAGGCAAAAAGAAAAAAAUUUCAAGACAUACAAGCUAAGA